AUAGUCGCAAACGACAAUCAAUAUAAAGCACUAGCAGCUUAAUAACCUGCCUAGAGCCUUCUCUCCCUAGCUUCCGCUCUUAAGACGGGGAUAAAGAGGAGUCAAACCCAAAAGAGAUCGCGUGGAUGCCUAGCUUGGGGUUGAAGCGUUAAAUUUAAUCAAGCUAGCUUAUUUGUGGCGUGUCUGUCCGCAGCAAGUAAGUGAAUUUAAAGACUAGACUAAGCAUGUAGUGCCGCGGAUGUAGAAAUUUCGGACGCGGGUUCAACUCCCGCCAGCUCCACCA
RNAcentral lists this transfer-messenger RNA (283 nucleotides) under Salmonella enterica subsp. enterica serovar Virchow. RNAcentral's name for it is "partial transfer-messenger RNA". It matches the Rfam family "transfer-messenger RNA", at positions 87 to 374 of the family's 374-position model. From Rfam's summary of the family: Bacterial tmRNA, also known as 10Sa RNA or SsrA, is named for its dual tRNA and mRNA-like properties. Its role is to liberate the mRNA from a stalled ribosome. The record is from RNAcentral. Lineage: Bacteria; Pseudomonadati; Pseudomonadota; Gammaproteobacteria; Enterobacterales; Enterobacteriaceae.